This 460-nucleotide ribosomal RNA is filed under the name uncultured bacterium. RNAcentral's name for it is "partial 16S ribosomal RNA". It matches the Rfam family "Bacterial small subunit ribosomal RNA", at positions 338 to 795 of the family's 1533-position model. The record is from RNAcentral.
CCUACGGGGUGCAGCAGUGAGGAAUAUUUGUCAAUGGACGAGAGUCUGAACCAGCCAAGUAGCGUGAAGGAUGACUGCCCUAUGGGUUGUAAACUUCUUUUAUAUGGGAAUAAAAUGUUCCACGUGUGGGAUUUUGUAUGUACCAUAUGAAUAAGGAUCGGCUAACUCCUUGCCAGCAGCCGCGGUAAUACGGAGGAUCCGAGCGUUAUCCGGAUUUAUUGGGUUUAAAGGGAGCGUAGGUGGAUUGUUAAGUCAGUUGUGAAAGUUUGCGGCUGAACCGUAAAAUUGCAGUUGAAACUGGCAGUCUUGAGUACAGUAGAGGUGGGCGGAAUUCGUGGUGUAGCGGUGAAAUGCUUAGAUAUCACGAAGAACUCCGAUUGCGAAGGCAGUUCACUGGACUGCAACUGACACUGAGGCUCGAAAGUGUGGGUAUCAAACAGGAUUAGAUACCCUGGUAGUC